RNAcentral lists this ribosomal RNA (189 nucleotides) under uncultured bacterium. Its description in RNAcentral is "partial 16S ribosomal RNA". It matches the Rfam family "Bacterial small subunit ribosomal RNA", at positions 1312 to 1500 of the family's 1533-position model. The record is from RNAcentral.
UCGCCUACACGAAGUUGGAAUUGCUAGUAAUCGUGGAUCAGCAUGCCACGGUGAAUACGUUCCCGGGUCUUGUACACACCGCCCGUCACACCAUGGGAGCUGGUAACACCCGAAGUCAGUAGUCUAACCGCAAGGAGGACGCUGCCGAAGGUGGGAUUAGCGACUGGGGUGAAGUCGUAACAAGGUACC